CCCUUAGAUGUUCUGGGCCGCACGCGCGCUACACUGUUCGACGCAGCGAGUCUUAACCUUGACCGAAAGGUUUGGGUAAUCUUCAGCAAAGUCGAACGUGAUGGGGAUCGAUCAUUGCAAUUAUUGAUCGUGAACGAGGAAUUCCUAGUAAGUGCAAGUCAUCAGCUUGCGCUGAUUACGUCCCUGCCCUUUGUACACAUCGCCCGUCGCUACUACCGAUUGAAUGGUUUAGUGAGAUCUCUGGAUUGACGCUGGCUAGGGGGCGACCCUUGGCCAGACUGCUCGAGAAACUGCUCAAACUUGAUCAUUUAGAGGAAGUAAAAGUCGUAACA
RNAcentral lists this ribosomal RNA (332 nucleotides) under uncultured eukaryote. Its description in RNAcentral is "partial 18S ribosomal RNA". It matches the Rfam family "Eukaryotic small subunit ribosomal RNA", at positions 1470 to 1796 of the family's 1831-position model. The record is from RNAcentral.